GAUGAACGCUGGCGGCGUGCCUAAUACAUGCAAGUCGAGCGAACAGACGAGGAGCUUGCUCCUCUGACGUUAGCGGCGGACGGGUGAGUAACACGUGGAUAACCUGCCUAUAAGACUGGGAUAACUUCGGGAAACCGGAGCUAAUACCGGAUAACAUGUUGAACCGCAUGGUUCAACAGUGAAAGACGGUCUUGCUGUCACUUAUAGAUGGAUCCGCGCCGCAUUAGCUAGUUGGUAAGGUAACGGCUUACCAAGGCAACGAUGCGUAGCCGACCUGAGAGGGUGAUCGGCCACACUGGAACUGAGACACGGUCCAGACUCCUACGGGAGGCAGCAGUGGGGAAUCUUCCGCAAAGGGCGAAAGCCUGACGGAGCAACGCCGCGUGAGUGAAGAAGGUCUUCGGAUCGUAAAACUCUGUUAUUAGGGAAGAACAAAUGUGUAAGUAACUAUGCACGUCUUGACGGUACCUAAUCAGAAAGCCACGGCUAACUACGUG
Molecule: ribosomal RNA, 497 nt
Filed under: uncultured bacterium
Lineage: Bacteria
Description: partial 16S ribosomal RNA
Rfam family: Bacterial small subunit ribosomal RNA
Source: RNAcentral